This 469-nucleotide ribosomal RNA is filed under the name uncultured bacterium. RNAcentral describes it as "partial 16S ribosomal RNA". It matches the Rfam family "Bacterial small subunit ribosomal RNA", at positions 28 to 507 of the family's 1533-position model. The record is from RNAcentral.
AACGAACGUUGGCGGCGUGGAUUAGGCAUGCAAGUCGAACGCGAAUCCCUGGGCAACUGGGGAGGAGAGUGGCGAAAGGGGCAGUAAGGCGUGGGUAACCUACCCUCCGGGCCGGGAUAGCUUCGGGAAACUGAAGGUAAUACCGGGCGACGCAGCGAGAUCGCAUGGUCUUGCUGCCAAAGGUCCGCCGCCGGGGGAGGGGCUCACGUGGUAUUAGCUAGACGGCGGGGUAACGGCCCACCGUGGCAAAGAUGCCUAGCAGGUGUGAGAGCACGACCUGCGCCACUGGCACUGAGACAAUGGCCAGACACCUACGGGUGGCUGCAGUCGAGGAUCUUCGGCAAUGGGCGCAAGCCUGACCGAGCGACGCCGCGUGUGCGAUGAAGGCCUUCGGGUUGUAAAGCACUGUCGAGGGGGAGGAAGCCGCAAGGUUGACCUAUCCCUGGAGGAAGCACGGGCUAAGUUCGUG